Molecule: long non-coding RNA, 1149 nt
Filed under: Cucumis sativus (cucumber)
Lineage: Eukaryota; Viridiplantae; Streptophyta; Magnoliopsida; Cucurbitales; Cucurbitaceae
Description: long non-coding RNA (CSAT_LNC002645)
Source: RNAcentral
UUGGAGAUUGAUAGCAAUGUGAGGAGGGAGGACGUGGAGAAGCUUGUGAGGGAGUUGAUGGAAGGAGAAAAGGGUGAAGACAUGAAGAGAAAUGCGGAAGAGUGGAAGAGGAAGGCUGAAGAGGCUUGUAAGAAUGGUGGGUCAUCCCUAACAAAUUUAGAUCGAGUCAUUUCUGAAAUUCUUUCCAGCAAAGAGAAAUCAAAGCUUGAAUGUCAAAAUUAACGAUAUAAUUUCAUGUAAGCAUGGCUAGUAACAACGCUCAUGCCGUCUGGUCAAAUAGUUAAGCAUAUUAAUUUUCAUAAAUCUAAACGAAGAAACUUUUGUCUUCUUUGGCUUUUCCUAUUACUGAUGUGUUUGAUUUAUAUUGGUAUUGUUAUGGUUUCUUUAAUAUAAAUAAGUGGUGUUCAUUGGGAUGUGUGCCAAUGUGUUGUUGAAUAAUAUUGUAGAUCUCAAAGAAGGUUGAUGUCCAAUCUUAAUCUGUUAAAGUCAAUGAACUAUUUGAAAAAAGAUACAAUUAAGUAAAUUCUAACAAAGUGUCAUACAAAUUUGUAUAUAGACAUAUAAAUAAAUAUUUUGUCAUUGUUGCUGCAUUUAAAUUAUCACUUUGCUCAAAUUUGAUUCUAUAUAUCUUUUUUUCAUUUCGUUAAUCACAUAUGCAUGUCUCACUUUUAUAAAUGUAAAUUUUUUUUUAGUAAAUUUUCUGAUUUCGAGGAUAGUAAGUUGUGCAAGGUUUAUUACCAAAUUAGUAAAUAUUUGGUUUAAAAAAGAAUACAAAUUUUGCAUUUAAAAAAUUAAAUUUAAAAUCAGAUCAACAACCUCCUCUGAAAUUAGUUUUCAAAAAUAGAUCAACUCAAUCCAUAAACUUUUCAACAUGAAAAAAAUAAAACAUAACCAAGAUUAGAAUAAGAUCACAUACACGUGGUGUGAUCGAUCCUAUUCAUCGGCGUUAUUUAAAAAUAAAAAGAAAAAAGUAGUAAUCAAAUCAAAUUUCUAAACUAAUGAAAUACUCACAACACAAAAGAUCAGUGACAUGUGGUAUACUCACAACACAAAAGAUCAGUGACAUGUGGUAUCCAUCACUUCUGCUUUCUCUAACCUAUGAAAAGUUUAUGAAAGUAAAGACAACACAAUUUAUAUACAACUCCAAUU